RNAcentral lists this ribosomal RNA (598 nucleotides) under Acheta domesticus (house cricket). Its description in RNAcentral is "eukaryotic LSU rRNA". It matches the Rfam family "Eukaryotic large subunit ribosomal RNA", at positions 704 to 1213 of the family's 3401-position model. Lineage: Eukaryota; Metazoa; Arthropoda; Insecta; Orthoptera; Gryllidae. The record is from RNAcentral.
AAACCCAAAGGCGUAAUGAAAGUGAAGCUGGGCGGCGCGGUUGACCACCGCGGCCGCCCCGGUGAGGGAGGAUGGCACGGGGCNCGCGCCCUCGCGGGGCGUCGCUUACUCCGGCCCGCACUCCCGGGGCGUCGUUGACGGCGCACCUAGAGCGCACACGUUGGUACCCGAAAGAUGGUGAACUAUGCCUGGCCAGGACGAAGCCAGGGGAAACCCUGGUGGAGGUCCGUAGCGAUUCUGACGUGCAAAUCGAUCGUCUGAGCUGGGUAUAGGGGCGAAAGACUAAUCGAACCAUCUAGUAGCUGGUUCCCUCCGAAGUUUCCCUCAGGAUAGCUGGCACUCGGAGGCAAGAAAGAAAUGAACAACCGAAUCUCAUUCGGUAAAGCGAAUGAUUAGAGGCCUUAGGGUCGAAACGGCCUUAACCUAUUCUCAAACUUUAAAUGGGUGAGAACGCCGGCAUCCUCAAAGAACUUUAAUGGGCGUGAUGCCGGCGNNGGAUCGUGAGUGUCCAGUGGGCCAUUUUUGGUAAGCAGAACUGGCGCUGUGGGAUGAACCAAACGUAGAGUUAAGGCGCCUAAACCGACGCUUAUGGGAUACC